This 490-nucleotide ribosomal RNA is filed under the name uncultured bacterium. RNAcentral's name for it is "partial 16S ribosomal RNA". It matches the Rfam family "Bacterial small subunit ribosomal RNA", at positions 28 to 507 of the family's 1533-position model. The record is from RNAcentral.
GAUGAACGCUAGCGAUAGGCUUAACACAUGCAAGUCGAGGGGCAGCAUGGUCUUAGCUUGCUAAGACUGAUGGCGACCGGCGCACGGGUGCGUAACGCGUAUGCAACUUGCCUCACAGAGGGGGAUAACCCGUCGAAAGACGGACUAAUACCGCGUACACUUGGGAUAGGGCAUCCUGACCCAAGGAAAUGAAAUUCGCUGUGAGAUAGGCAUGCGUCCCAUUAGCUAGUUGGUGAGGUAACGGCUCACCAAGGCGACGAUGGGUAGGGGAACUGAGAGGUUGAACCCCCACACUGGUACGGAGACACGGACCAGACUCCUACGGGAGGCAGCAGUGAGGAAGAUUGGUCAAUGGGCGAGAGCCUGAACCAGCCAAGUCGCGUGAAGGAUGACUGUCUUAUGGAUUGUAAACUUCUUUUAUACGGGAAUAACAAGAGUCACGUGUGGCUCCCUGCAUGUACCGUAUGAAUAAGCAUCGGCUAACUCCGUG